RNAcentral lists this ribosomal RNA (493 nucleotides) under Acinetobacter sp. ANC 4169. Its description in RNAcentral is "bacterial LSU rRNA". It matches the Rfam family "Bacterial large subunit ribosomal RNA", at positions 1 to 534 of the family's 2925-position model. The record is from RNAcentral. Lineage: Bacteria; Pseudomonadati; Pseudomonadota; Gammaproteobacteria; Moraxellales; Moraxellaceae.
GUUGUAUAGUCAAGUAAUUAAGUGCAUGUGGUGGAUGCCUUGGCAGUCAGAGGCGAUGAAAGACGUAAUAGCCUGCGAUAAGCUCCGGGGAGGCGGCAAAUAUCCUGUGAUCCGGAGAUUUCUGAAUGGGGGAACCCACUUACCAUAAGGUAGGUAUCAUACACUGAAUACAUAGGUGUAUGAGGCAAACGAGGGGAAGUGAAACAUCUCAGUACCCUUAGGAAAAGAAAUCAAUUGAGAUUCCCUCAGUAGCGGCGAGCGAACGGGGAAAAGCCCAUUAAGUCAUAUCAGCUUUAGUGGAAUGCUCUGGGAAGUGCAACCAUAGUAGGUGAUAGUCCUGUACACGAAAGGGCUGAUAUGAUGAUGUCGAGUAGGGCGAGGCACGUGAAACCUUGUCUGAAUAUGGGGGGACCAUCCUCCAAGGCUAAAUACUCCUGACUGACCGAUAGUGAACCAGUACCGUGAGGGAAAGGCGAAAAGAACCCCUGUGAGG